RNAcentral lists this ribosomal RNA (750 nucleotides) under Streptomyces sp. B1O26. RNAcentral's name for it is "bacterial SSU rRNA". It matches the Rfam family "Bacterial small subunit ribosomal RNA", at positions 74 to 837 of the family's 1533-position model. The record is from RNAcentral. Lineage: Bacteria; Bacillati; Actinomycetota; Actinomycetes; Kitasatosporales; Streptomycetaceae.
ACCACUUCGGUGGGGAUUAGUGGCGAACGGGUGAGUAACACGUGGGCAAUCUGCCCUUCACUCUGGGACAAGCCCUGGAAACGGGGUCUAAUACCGGAUAAUACUUCCACUCUCCUGAGUGGUGGUUGAAAGCUCCGGCGGUGAAGGAUGAGCCCGCGGCCUAUCAGCUUGUUGGUGAGGUAAUGGCUCACCAAGGCGACGACGGGUAGCCGGCCUGAGAGGGCGACCGGCCACACUGGGACUGAGACACGGCCCAGACUCCUACGGGAGGCAGCAGUGGGGAAUAUUGCACAAUGGGCGAAAGCCUGAUGCAGCGACGCCGCGUGAGGGAUGACGGCCUUCGGGUUGUAAACCUCUUUCAGCAGGGAAGAAGCGAAAGUGACGGUACCUGCAGAAGAAGCGCCGGCUAACUACGUGCCAGCAGCCGCGGUAAUACGUAGGGCGCAAGCGUUGUCCGGAAUUAUUGGGCGUAAAGAGCUCGUAGGCGGCUUGUCACGUCGGGUGUGAAAGCCCGGGGCUUAACCCCGGGUCUGCAUUCGAUACGGGCUAGCUAGAGUGUGGUAGGGGAGAUCGGAAUUCCUGGUGUAGCGGUGAAAUGCGCAGAUAUCAGGAGGAACACCGGUGGCGAAGGCGGAUCUCUGGGCCAUUACUGACGCUGAGGAGCGAAAGCGUGGGGAGCGAACAGGAUUAGAUACCCUGGUAGUCCACCGCCGUAAACGGUGGGAACUAGGUGUUGGCGACAUUCCACGU